CAGCAGCCACGGUAAUACGUAGGGCGCAAGCGUUAUCCGGAAUUAUUGGGCGUAAAGAGCUCGUAGGCGGUUUGUCGCGUCUGCCGUGAAAGUCCGGGGCUCAACCCCGGAUCUGCGGUGGGUACGGGCAGACUAGAGUGAUGUAGGGGAGACUGGAAUUCCUGGUGUAGCGGUGAAAUGCGCAGAUAUCAGGAGGAACACCGAUGGCGAAGGCAGGUCUCUGGGCAUUAACUGACGCUGAGGAGCGAAAGCAUGGGGAGCGAACAGGAUUAGAUACCCGCGUAGUCCCUGUCUCUUAUAC
Molecule: ribosomal RNA, 301 nt
Filed under: uncultured bacterium
Lineage: Bacteria
Description: partial 16S ribosomal RNA
Rfam family: Bacterial small subunit ribosomal RNA
Source: RNAcentral